UUGAGUGACGUCGACGCAGGGGGAGCGACUGUGUUUCCACGACUUGACCUGCUGGUCCAACCUGUCAAGGGUAGCGCAGUGUUUUGGUAUAACCUGUUAGAUGACGGAAUGUCUGACGUCAUGACUGUCCACGGCAGCUGUCCAGUUAUCUCAGGCGACAAAUGGGUGGCCAACAAAUGGAUCCGAGAGACUGCUCAAAUCUUUCAUCAUCCAUGCCCUGCCAAGCUCACCAGGGUCACAUCUAGACCUUGACAAAGGAUUAGACCAGGGUCAGAUCUAGACCUUGACAAAGGAUUAGACCAGGGUCACAUCUAGACCGUGACAAAGGAUUAGACCAGGGUCACAUCUAGACCUUGGCAAAGGGUUAGACCAGAGAUAAAGUCCAAUCAAUAAUUAAUAAUCAGAAAUCGACUAGCAGUCAAAUCAAUAGAUAAUCAGUUUGUGUAGACCUCCAUAGCUAUAUCUCAAUUAUAAUAUUGAAUAAGAUAUCCUCCCACACAAUGAAUGAUUACAGGUCGACGUAUUAUACGCCAUUAAACCCGUUGAGUCUGCAUGUCUGCUGGAUCUGUCUCUGUUCAACCAAGCUGCAAGGCAGCUGUUGUUUGAUUCUAGAGCUUCACGUCUAAUUGCGUCGUUGUUUCUAUCAAACGUUGUCAUGAGGCAGAUUUCCCAAUUUGGGGCUUUUGGAAUUAAUUCAUACAAUUAUAAUAAUUUGUUUAUAAAAUAAUAAUUAAUUGAUAAAAUGAAAAUAAUUUAUUUAUGAGUAACUUAUAGCAGUCACCCUUACGUAAAUGUUCCGACAUCAGGUCAAAUUGUACUCCCAUCAUUAUGAUCAAACUAACAUAUGUUGGUACAUUAAGAAAGCCUUUAAUUAAAAAUUAUAUAAAUUCCCAAACACCAGACAGCGCAUGGUAUAUGAUUAUGAUCCAUAAUGAGCACAUAAGUAACGGGCGUUUACUAAUAACUUUUACAUCAAGUGCCAGUGCAUAGCCUGGCCGUCACCGCUUGUAAAAUAAAUGAAGGUAGUAUGUUAUUCAAAAUACCUUUGUUUUACCUACCACAUUGCACUUUAUCAAUCCAUACAAAUUCUGAAAAACCUUUCUUACAUGAAAACAAACUCAAAGGAAGUAGUUUUUUUCCUUCCGUAAUAUUAUUUUUGUGAGUUAUCUAGGAAAGUGGUUUGUAUAAUUUUGUAAAGAAAUUAUUUUUUUUAUGAUGAAUAAAUAAUUUAUGGUUGCUUUCGUACUUUGCCCUUUACUUGAAUUGAAACUUCAUCUUAAAAAUGAACAUUCGUUUUAGAUAAUAUAUUGGAUUUUCUAAACAUCAAUUUAAACUUAUGUACAAAAAUUAAACCUUAGCUCAGUGGCGAUCAAGCUGAGUUUUUAAAUAUAAAAGUGUCUACCCUGAAUUUUCUACAUUCAUAUAAACUAAGUCUAUUAUAUACUAUAAAUAAUUGAGUAUAAUAUUUUAUACUAUAAAGAUAUUUUUUUUUAAAUCUUUAUAGUACAACUAGCCGUCCCGGCCAGGCCCUGCUCUGGCUUCUGUGAAAAACCUUUCUGUUAAAGACCAUUACCUGUGUGUUUAGUAAUCAUCAUAAACCCGGAAUUGCCCACCCAAACCACAACCAACCAAAACCAAAACAACAAAACGCAAACAUAACGAUAACACAAUUACAAAUACAAACGAAAACAAAAACCUAACAACAAACACAACCUAAAACACCAAUACAAACACAAAGAAAAAACAAACAAAAAAGCAAACGAAAACAAAAACCUAACAACAAGCCCAACCACAACCACAAACACCAAUACGAAUACAAAGAAAAAAACAAACGAAAAAGCAAACGAAAACAAACCAAAUCCAAACGCAAAACCAACCACAAACACAAACCCAAAGAAAAAAACACAAACGAAAAAGCAAACGAAA
Long non-coding RNA from Physella acuta, 1926 nucleotides. RefSeq lists it as uncharacterized. NCBI's taxonomy places the organism in Eukaryota, Metazoa, Mollusca, Gastropoda, Physidae. The record is from RefSeq and is a predicted model, not a curated record.